GGUGAGUAACACGUAAGCAACCUGCCUAUCAGAGGGGAACAACAGUUAGAAAUGACUGCUAAUACCGCAUAUGCCUUAGAAUCACAUGGUUCAAAAGGGAAAGGAGCAAUCCGCUGAUAGAUGGGCUUGCGUCUGAUUAGCUAGUUGGUGGGGUAACGGCCUACCAAGGCAACGAUCAGUAGCCGAACUGAGAGGUUGAACGGCCACAUUGGGACUGAGGUACGGCCCAGACUCCUACGGGAGGCAGCAGUCGGGAAUAUUGCGCAAUGGAGGAAACUCUGACGCAGUGACGCCGCGUGCAGGAAGAAGGUUUUCGGAUUGUAAACUGCUUUAGACAGGGAAGAACAAAGACAGUACCUGUAGAAUAAGCUCCGGCUAACUACGUGCCGGCAGCCGCGGUAAUACGUAGGGAGCGAGCGUUAUCCGGAUUUAUUGGGUGUAAAGGGUGCGUA
Molecule: ribosomal RNA, 452 nt
Filed under: uncultured bacterium
Lineage: Bacteria
Description: bacterial SSU rRNA
Rfam family: Bacterial small subunit ribosomal RNA
Source: RNAcentral